Molecule: long non-coding RNA, 648 nt
Organism: Acipenser ruthenus (sterlet)
Lineage: Eukaryota; Metazoa; Chordata; Actinopteri; Acipenseriformes; Acipenseridae
Exons: 3
Source: RefSeq, a predicted model, not a curated record
GUCAAGGGUGCUGUGCUCCUGGAUCAUUUGUCUUAAUCCAGCCGUCAACCCAGUUGCAUUGAGUUGCCUUGUCACGGUUUCAGAGGAAAAAGACCACGGCUUCCCCUAACAACAUUGGAUUCUUGUCGGACACAUCAUAGAUACCAUCAAAAAUGAUCUUCCUUCCAUUCCAUUGCAUUAUUCCAACUGUCAACAAUAGAGGAGUAAAUGUUGUGUUUCCUAGGUCCUUACCUUCCAGAUGAUACAGCACAUGCUAAUUAAAAACUGCCUUCUAAGUAUGGUAACUUCAUGGGUCUACCAUUUACCUUGUCCAUAUGUCACCAGGUGGUAAUUGAGGCUUUUUUUAUAGUGAAUGGUUUCCACUAUGGACAGAAGAGUAGUACUGUAUAUGCACGUAGAACUAUGCAUUAUUUGUGUUUAUAAUUUUAAUAAUAUGUUCAUUGUGUUCUGUAUCCCAAAUCUCAGUCUUACAUUAAUUAUAAUAAAGGUGAAGUCAGUUCCAUUACCUUAAGUAAACUGAACAGGGAUGAUUUUAUCAGACAUUUAAACUAAGAGGUCAGUGAGCUUUAGACCACUGGGAUCCUGAGUUUGUCGAACUCUUUCCACUCAAAUACAGAGCAACACUGAUCUCAAGUGGCAAAAUUAGCA